GAUGAAGAACGUAGCGAAAUGCGAUAAGUAAUGUGUAUUGCAGAAUUCAGUGAAUCAUCGAAUCUUUGAACGCACAUUGCGCCCGCCAGUAUUCUGGCGGGCAUGCCUGUUCGAGCGUCAUUACAACCCUCAGGCCCCCGGGCCUGGCGUUGGGGAUCGGCGGAAGCCCCCUGUGGGCACACGCCGUCCCUCAAAUACAGUGGCGGUCCCGCCGCAGCUUCCAUUGCGUAGUAGCUAACACCUCGCAACUGGAGAGCGGCGCGGCCAUGCCGUAAAACACCCAACUUCUGAAUGUUGACCUCGAAUCAGGUAGGAAUACCCGCUGAACUUAAGCAUAUCAAUAAGCGGAGGA
This 352-nucleotide unclassified non-coding RNA is filed under the name soil metagenome. RNAcentral describes it as "partial contains 5.8S ribosomal RNA, internal transcribed spacer 2, and large subunit ribosomal RNA". The stretch from base 1 to 120 matches the Rfam family "5.8S ribosomal RNA", at positions 35 to 154 of the family's 154-position model. The record is from RNAcentral.